GACGAACGCUGGCGGCGUGCCUAAUACAUGCAAGUAGAACGCUGAAGGAGGAGCUUGCUUCUCUGGAUGAGUUGCGAACGGGUGAGUAACGCGUAGGUAACCUGCCUGGUAGCGGGGGAUAACUAUUGGAAACGAUAGCUAAUACCGCAUAAGAGUGGAUGUUGCAUGACAUUUGCUUAAAAGGUGCACUUGCAUCACUACCAGAUGGACCUGCGUUGUAUUAGCUAGUUGGUGGGGUAACGGCUCACCAAGGCGACGAUACAUAGCCGACCUGAGAGGGUGAUCGGCCACACUGGGACUGAGACACGGCCCAGACUCCUACGGGAGGCAGCAGUAGGGAAUCUUCGGCAAUGGACGGAAGUCUGACCGAGCAACGCCGCGUGAGUGAAGAAGGUUUUCGGAUCGUAAAGCUCUGUUGUAAGAGAAGAACGAGUGUGAGAGUGGAGAGUUCACACUGUGACGGUAUCUUACCAGAAAGGGACGGCUAACUACGUGCCAGCAGCCGCGGUAAUACGUAGGUCCCGAGCGUUGUCCGGAUUUAUUGGGCGUAAAGCGAGCGCAGGCGGUUAGAUAAGUCUGAAGUUAAAGGCUGUGGCUUAACCAUAGUAGGCUUUGGAAACUGUUUAACUUGAGUGCAAGAGGGGAGAGUGGAAUUCCAUGUGUAGCGGUGAAAUGCGUAGAUAUAUGGAGGAACACCGGUGGCGAAAGCGGCUCUCUGGCUUGUAACUGACGCUGAGGCUCGAAAGCGUGGGGAGCAAACAGG
This 763-nucleotide ribosomal RNA is filed under the name uncultured Streptococcus sp. RNAcentral describes it as "bacterial SSU rRNA". It matches the Rfam family "Bacterial small subunit ribosomal RNA", at positions 28 to 776 of the family's 1533-position model. The record is from RNAcentral. Lineage: Bacteria; Bacillati; Bacillota; Bacilli; Lactobacillales; Streptococcaceae.